CCUACGGGAGGCAGCAGUGAGGAAUAUUGGUCAAUGGGCGAGAGCCUGAACCAGCCAAGUCGCGUGAAGGAUGAAUGAUCUAUGGUUUGUAAACUUCUUUUAUAUGGGAAUAAAGUGAGGAACGUGUUCCGUUUUGUAUGUACCAUAUGAAUAAGCAUCGGCUAACUCCGUGCCAGCAGCCGCGGUAAUACGGAGGAUGCGAGCGUUAUCCGGAUUUAUUGGGUUUAAAGGGUGCGUAGGUGGUUAAUUAAGUCAGAUGUGAAAGUUUGUGGCUCAACCAUAAAAUUGCAGUUGAAACUGGGUGACUUGAGUAGAUCUGAGGUAGGCGGAAUGCGUGGUGUAGCGGUGAAAUGCAGAGAUAUCACGAAGAACUCCGAUUGCGAAGGCAGCUUACUAAACUAUAACUGACACUGAAGCACGAAAGUGUGGGGAUCAAACAGGAUUAGAUACCCCAGUAGUC
This 460-nucleotide ribosomal RNA is filed under the name uncultured bacterium. RNAcentral's name for it is "partial 16S ribosomal RNA". It matches the Rfam family "Bacterial small subunit ribosomal RNA", at positions 338 to 795 of the family's 1533-position model. The record is from RNAcentral.